Molecule: long non-coding RNA, 370 nt
Filed under: Olea europaea (common olive)
Lineage: Eukaryota; Viridiplantae; Streptophyta; Magnoliopsida; Lamiales; Oleaceae
Description: long non-coding RNA (OEUR_LNC000775)
Source: RNAcentral
UUCGAGUAGCUGAGUUAAGCUUAUGGUAGUCGAUGCACACUCUCCAUCCAGUCAAUGUCCGUGUAGGAAUCAACUCAUUUCUCUCAUUUUCUAUCACUGUGAUUCCUCCUUUCUUAGGAACAACUUGCACUGCACUGAUCCAUGCACUAUCUGAUAUUGGAUAAAUAAUGCCUGCAUCGAGCAACUUCAAUACCUCAGCUCUAACCACUUCCUUCAUGUGUGGAUUCAAUCUCCGCUGCCCAUCAAUGCUUGGUUUAAAUUUUUCCUCCAUGAGUAUCUUAUGCAUGCAUAUAGAUGGGCUGAUCCCCUUUAUAUCUGCAAUAGACCAUCCAAUAGCUGUUUUAUUCUCCCUUAACACCCGAAGUAGUUU